GAUGAAGAACGCAGCGAAAUGCGAUAAGUAAUGUGAAUUGCAGAAUUCAGUGAAUCAUCGAAUCUUUGAACGCACAUUGCGCCCCUUGGUAUUCCGAGGGGCAUGCCUGUUCGAGCGUCAUUAUAACCCUCAAGCUCAGCUUGGUGUUGGGGCCUGCUGCACUGGCAGCCCUUAAAAUCAGUGGCGGCGCCAUCUGGCUCUAAGCGUAGUAAUUCUUCUCGCUAAGGAGUCCUGGUGGAUGCUUGCCAUCAACCCCCAAUUUUUCUAUGGUUGACCUCGGAUCAGGUAGGGAUACCCGCUGAACUUAAGCAUAUCAAUAAGCGGAGGA
This 328-nucleotide unclassified non-coding RNA is filed under the name soil metagenome. RNAcentral's name for it is "partial contains 5.8S ribosomal RNA, internal transcribed spacer 2, and large subunit ribosomal RNA". The stretch from base 1 to 120 matches the Rfam family "5.8S ribosomal RNA", at positions 35 to 154 of the family's 154-position model. The record is from RNAcentral.